CAAAAACGCUUUAGAAAACCACUAACCACAGACGACUUGGAACACUGGCUAGCUAAUACUACACGAGACUUUGACUGGACAUUUGGUAUAGGAUCAUGGAUAGGAGGACUUGGGAUGAAAAUAUUAAAGGGAAUUGUGUGGUGUGUUUUUAUUAUACUUUGUGUUUACCUAUGCUACAAACUUACCAUUUGCUGCAUUCAAAGAGUAGCUACAUGUAAAACAGAUGCCAGGAUAGAAUUAGAAGAGUGACAAAUGCUUUUAUAGAUAGA
This 269-nucleotide long non-coding RNA is filed under the name Pelobates cultripes (western spadefoot toad). Lineage: Eukaryota; Metazoa; Chordata; Amphibia; Anura; Pelobatidae. The record is from RNAcentral.